GAACAUUCCUAGAAGAAACCAUUAAAACCACUAUAGAACCAUGAAUAUGUGAGUUUGAGUUGUCAAAACAAAAAUAUAUUUAACAUUUAAAUGAUUUCUAUUUCCUUCUUCCUUCAGUUAUCAAAAGUCAAUGGUGUGAAAAUUUUAUUAGUAAAAGAUAUUGUCUUUUCAAACAUAAAUAUUAUCUAAGAAGAGAGAGAAUAUAUUCUCUUCAAACUUCUGUACUCAUUUUACCUGAAACACUAAUUAAAGGUUAGCAGAAUUUCUUAAAAAUUUUUCCAUAGCUAAAUAUUGCCCUAUAAUAAAUUAAAUUAUCUAUUUUUUCUACAUAGUAUAUUUGCCUCAGAAAACUUAUAGUAUAUAUAUUUAUAGAAUAGUUAAAAUAUGAUUUUAUCAAAACACUAAAAGAUUUUGUUUUCACCACUAUAACCAAAAGACCUGACAAGAACAAUUAAAGGAGGAAAAGUUUAUUUGGAGGCUCAGUUUCAGAGGUCUCAAUCCAUAGAUGGCCACCUCUAUUCCCUGGGGUAUGAGAUGAGGCAGAACUUGGCAGAUGGGCUUUGUGGAGGAAAGCACUAGGAAGCAAUACUCCCCUCACCGUUGACAAAAUAUAUACCCCAAAGGCAUGCCCCCAGGAACCCACCUCCUGCAGCCAAGCUACCUGCCCAUGGUUACCACCAAAUUAAUCCCUAUCUGAGAAUUAAUGAACUGAUUAGUCUCAUUUUACCUCUAAGCUUUCUUGUGUUUUCUUACACAUCAGCUUUUGGGGAACACCUAAUAUCUAAACUAUACCAGUGUCUAAAUGAAUCAGUAUUAAAAUAUAUAAAA
RNAcentral lists this long non-coding RNA (828 nucleotides) under Marmota monax (woodchuck). Lineage: Eukaryota; Metazoa; Chordata; Mammalia; Rodentia; Sciuridae. The record is from RNAcentral.